AUAUAGACGAAACAUUUCAAAUUCAGUACGAUCUUAUGAAAUUAUAUCUAAAAUGUUACGCUUCAAAACACAUAAAACCACUGGGAAGUCAUUGUUUUUGACAGAUUUGAAUAUGUUCUCCAUUUGUAAACAGUCUUCUACUCCAGUAUUGUUCUCCCACUGUGACACUACAGACCCACGGCGACUUGAAAAUCUAGAACUGCCGAGAUGUGCAGAUGUGCAAACACCCACCGGAGAUGGCUGAUCUUCCAGGCAGCCGUGUGGAAGAGCGUCGAGAUGGGCGUCACAUGCCGGCUAAAUGUUCCCACGUGUUUGCAGGAGCCCGGCUUUCACUUCGUGGAGACAGAGGGCCCGUUGCGCCACACAGCGCAUGAAUAGGAUCAGCCGUACGUAAUAAUGUAAGGAUCAGAGCCUCUGGAUCACAGCGUGCGCUGCAAGAAUCUGUGUGCGAGUAACUCCAAGGCUAUUCCUUUCACUGCGAAGAACAAGUUAAUCUCCUCUGGGAGUCCUGACUCCGGUUCUCACGAUUAUAGCCAAGCUUCCCCUUCAACGCAGCAAACGUCCCGGGGCAGGACUGGACUUGAUAAACUGAUGUCGUGGCGCUGAACUAUGACCCACAUCGUGGUGGGGGAGACUUACUGAGCAACAGAACCCUGACCCAUGUAUGUGUUUCAAUGGGGAAGAAACAUAAAAACAAAAGUAGCAUGGGUUUCUUUAGUUUUCAGCGAUCUUUAAUCUGAUAUCCCAAAACCACCACCUGUGUUAAAUCAGCAGGCCCGGAUUUACAAGGAUGUGUGGCCCUGGGCAGAGCAGUUUUGGUGCCCUGUCCACUGAGGAAAACUUAUUUUACUAAUGCAAAUUACAGUACACUAAUAGGUAGUCAUCAACAGCUAUGCCUUGAUUCAUGGGAGGUUUAAUAGCCAAUAACUCUACGUCAUUCCCAAGAAAUCGACUACAACUUCAUUAUUUCCAAAUACUUGAAUAUUGUUUAAAAAUCAUUCAGUUCAUAAAAUAUUAAUGCGACUCAUCUAAUUUGUGCAUAUAGGUUUUAUAUAAAGUACAAUGUUUGAAAAACACACAUUCACUGAAAAAAAAAGCAAAGAAAAAUCUUUGGGACACCACCCAAAAAAUGGCGCCCUGGGCUACUGCCCCAUGAGCUCUUCUUAAAAUCUGGCCCAGCAGAUCAGAGAUAAAGUUGUGCAGAAGUUUAAAGUAUUGUUUGGUUAUACAACAAUAUCCAGAUUUGACCUUCUAAGGAGAAACUUUCAGUAAAUAGACAGAGUGUGACAAAACAAGUCACUAAUCAGAGAAGAACACAUGGGUGAGCUUUGUGUUGCACAUCACCCUGAAAACAAGUGGUGGCAGCAUUAUGCUGUGUAAACGCUUUUCUUUGGGGAUACAAUCCUGAACGACAAAACAAUGAGAGUGCAAAAAUCUCAAGGUUUGCCCUUAAGACAGUGAAAUGGUUUAGAUGAAAAUAUGAUCAUGUGUUGGAAUGAACUAGAAUCCGUAGCGAAAACGUGAAUAUUGAUCUAUCAAUUUGAUUGGUCUACGAAGUAUUGGCUUGGUUAAUACACGCCACAUUUUUCUGAUUUGUAUAAAUGAAAUGACUUAGUGUUAGCCUACUUGUUCUAUCACAUAAAGUCUGCUCCAUGUUACAAAAUGUGAAAAGUUUCAAGGAGAGUGAAUACCUUUCAACGCCACUGUACCCCGAUGGAGGAAACACGAUGAUCCCGGGAGAAAGACUGAAAUUUAAACUGAUUGCUCCCCCGCAUACGCGCUCACUAAUCUGUAACAUCACUCUGAUUGUCCUCGCGUCACAGCGCGUAGUAGAUGGACAACAUCUGUCCGCCGUGUGGGAUUCUACUU
Poecilia latipinna (sailfin molly) is the source of this 1869-nucleotide long non-coding RNA. RefSeq lists it as uncharacterized. NCBI's taxonomy places the organism in Eukaryota, Metazoa, Chordata, Actinopteri, Cyprinodontiformes, Poeciliidae. The record is from RefSeq and is a predicted model, not a curated record. The transcript is spliced from 2 exons.